AAAGAUGGAGACAAGAACGACAGCCGGCGCCAUCGGGCGUUAGUGGUGGACGGUGGUGAUUGAUUCGGCUUUCUUCGCCGAAUCAAUCACCACCGUCAGAACAUCUUCAUCUUCGAGAAGAGCCUAGCCUUUGGCUUAAACCCUGGAUGCCGGCGAGUAUGUUGCCGUCUCCCGCGUGCCUCCCCUCCUCCAUCACCUUGGCCGGCCUUGUCUACUUCUCUGGCGCCGGCGAAUUCUUCGCCAUCAUCUCCCCUGGGACUUGGAUGGCGCUUUGAGGUUCCCAUUUAGCUCCGUUCUUGAAGAAGAAGACAAGGCGUGAUUCAUUCUACUACCGCCACUCCCACUCCGCAGGAGGCGCCGGCGCGGCGAGAUCACAAGUCCUUUGGAUCCUCAGAGCAGCAUUCAGGAUCUGACAUCGCCUAGCAUUCAGUUAAUUGAUGUGCAAGGAAGAAGGACGUUGAAGAGGAUAUCGCGCACUUUAAUUUCAUCAUUUUUUGUUGCUUUUGAAAAAUUUGGCUGUGCACGCUCAUCUGAAUGCCCAGCGAUGUCUAUGCCUUUGUGCACAUUUGGUUCAUUUAUUAUGGUUUCGAUAUCUGCCACGAAAUUAAGUACCAAAGUUACAUGCAUAUUCUCUAAAAAUUCGAUAUUCUAGUUUCAUAUCUGUGACAACAACGUUUUGCUACCUGAUCUGCUCUUCAGUCGCUGUGCUUUAUUCAUUUUAUAUGUCGGAUUGGUGACUUGUUGGAGCUUUGGCUUAUCUUUUCUUCUGGUUGGCUUCACUGAAUGACUUAGGAGACAUGCCGCUCGGUUCCAAUUCGUGGAUGAUGUAUUGUUUGAUCUACAUUAAUCUAUAUAAAAUUGAACUAUCAAAAGAUUUGCUAAUGUUAUUGGUGUAUCAACAUUAUUUUCUAGAUAUUUUUAAAUUUAUCCCAGUUACCUUCAAUCUUUUCUUAACUAAGCUUUUUCCUUCGAUGUCAUAACUAUUUGCUAUUUUGCUUUAUCUUGCUACCAACCUUCGCACAUAUCCAGUCCUUUUGUUCCAUGCUUUUUAAUGAGAAUGGUUAAAGUAUAUGCUUUUGCCAUCCGAUUAAUGUCUAGGUUCCUAUUAUCCUGCAGUUAUAGAAUGCAUUUAAUGGAUUGCUACUAGACUCCUAUGCUUUUCACAAAUAUUGGCAGAAUCUCAUGACUACCCAAACAGGCCUAUAGAAAAGACCCAAGUUUUUCCACAAGGUUGAGCAAAGCAGGAGCAGGCAGCACUGUAAGUGGUCCAACGGCAGCAGCUGCUCAGAAGCAGAAGGCCAUAUUGCAAAAGGUUGAUACUGAUGUGAAUGUCAUUGAUAAUUUUAGCUACCUCAUCAAUGGUGAGAGCGUUUGUUCCCAAACUUGUUCCUUGUUUCUCCAAAACUGGGAAUUUAAAGUAAUUUAUGUUGUUUAUACUUAGUGGACAUGUUUUAAGGUCUCACUUGUACUGAUUUACUUUUUUGGAUGAAGAUGUCUCCAGAUAGGAUAUUGUAAUUGUGUUUUUGUAGUAUGCAGAUGUCAAAAAUUAUUUCCUGCUUGCUUUGACUUAAAGCUACCAAGUAUAUGAAUUGGGUUUAAUUUAAAUCAUUGUUUUGGUUCUUUUAAUUCAUGUAGCAUCAAGUUGUACACAGGCUCUGGUAAAGUUUUAAGUUAUGAUUCUUUCGUGAAAAAUUGGAGAAGUCUUAUCCCAUCCAUUUGUGAAUUCUUAAUCAUCAUGUAGAAGGGAAAAAAAUUACUUAAUCAAAAAAGGCCUUUGUCUUUCAUGUCACCUUCAGUCCGGACUUUCGUAGGUCUCUUCUUCUUUAAUCCAAUUGAUGUGGCCCUCCUGAUACUUGUUCUAUCUGGCAGAAAUUAUUAUUCACCCGUGGGACAUGGAGUUGUUAUUUUAUCUUAUUAUCACUAGUUUGACGAAUGCUCGUUUCUAAUUGUGUUAUCUGAGCUGAGCCAGUCAAGCUAGUUGGCCUGUGCCUCCCCCCACUCCCCAGUCCAGGCAAAAAAAAAAAAAAUGGAAAGAAAAAGAAGUCAAAUAAAAACAAAGCAAUGAUCGAAGAGUCCAAAGAAGAUGGCUGUUGAACAAGCCUGGUGAUUACCAAAGAAGAAUUGAGUUUGAUGUUUGUAGAUGUCAUCUCCUCUGAUUCACAUUAUAUCUUUGUCAUACCCUGUUCUCUUUUGUUAAAGUUGGAAAUUUUGUGUGUUAAUGUCCAAGUGGCAGGUAAGCUGUUGAAUGACAGAAAAUUACUUCACAUGCUUUCUGGAAAAGCAGAAUGUUUUGUUUCUCUGCCACUUAUUCAAAAAAUAUUUUGGUUUGUUUAUAUAAUCAUCUGUUCAUCUUUAACUUUGAAAGUGAAACUGUUGAUUCUUUACAUUGAUUGAUGGAGAAAACUUGUGCUUCAUAUUUUUCCCACAAAGAUGCGUACUGUUAACCAAGAGGAAGCAUAAUGAAUGCUAGUCAUUGUACAUAUUCUAUUAUAUCAUAUUUGAAAAUCCUUGUGUUCAUAUAUAACUGGUGUGGAAAUUUUUGACAGCAUGUUGCCUUUUUCUUUUGCAGGUUUAUCAAUCGGCUGCCACUUGUUGAACUACGGCUAGGUAGAGAUCAAUCCAACCAGCCAAAGACCAAACCAAGUGGGUCUAGAAUUUUAUCUGUUCCUCUGUAUAAUUUUCUCCAUUUCCUUUUUGAAAAGGAAACCGAGGCCCUCUACCUGCAGUAGCUUCAAUUAGGGAGCUGACACCUUGUAAUUGUGUCGACACCAGGUUUAGAGUUAGCUGUAUACUCAUUUUUGAAUCAUGAAAUUGUUGCUAUCAAACGGCACAAUUGUAUAAAAACAGUUUCUCUAGUAGUUGCAGUGCUAAUGGCUUUAGCUUUAUUUC
Phoenix dactylifera (date palm) is the source of this 2889-nucleotide long non-coding RNA. RefSeq lists it as uncharacterized. Lineage: Eukaryota; Viridiplantae; Streptophyta; Magnoliopsida; Arecales; Arecaceae. The record is from RefSeq and is a predicted model, not a curated record.